This 427-nucleotide ribosomal RNA is filed under the name uncultured bacterium. RNAcentral's name for it is "bacterial SSU rRNA". It matches the Rfam family "Bacterial small subunit ribosomal RNA", at positions 355 to 774 of the family's 1533-position model. The record is from RNAcentral.
UGGGGAAUUUUGGACAAUGGGCGAAAGCCUGAUCCAGCAAUGCCGCGUGCAGGAUGAAGGCCUUCGGGUUGUAAACUGCUUUUGUACGGAACGAAAAAGCUUCUCCUAAUACGAGAGGCCCAUGACGGUACCGUAAGAAUAAGCACCGGCUAACUACGUGCCAGCAGCCGCGGUAAUACGUAGGGUGCGAGCGUUAAUCGGAAUUACUGGGCGUAAAGCGUGCGCAGGCGGUUAUGUAAGACAGAUGUGAAAUCCCCGGGCUCAACCUGGGAACUGCAUUAGUGACUGCAUAGCUGGAGUACGGCAGAGGGGGAUGGAAUUCCGCGUGUAGCAGUGAAAUGCGUAGAUAUUUGGUAGAACACCAAGAGCGAAGGCAGCUUGCUGGACAGAAACUGACUCUGAGAGACGAAAGCGUGGGGAGCAAACA